AUCAUACUUGAAACCAUUUAUAUUAUCAAACAACUCAAUGUUGAAUGAUAAAACUAUAAAAUUAUUUAAAAAAAAAAACAACGAAAAAACCUCUUUAAACUUAGUGAACUUGCAAACUUUAUGAUUAUGGAUUGAGAUAAAAUCAAAAUAAUUAAUUAAAAAAAAAACAACUCGCAUUAUUGAAAUAUUUAAAUAAUAUAAACAAAAAAAUAC
This 213-nucleotide long non-coding RNA is filed under the name Populus trichocarpa (black cottonwood). RNAcentral's name for it is "long non-coding RNA (PTRI_LNC003324)". Lineage: Eukaryota; Viridiplantae; Streptophyta; Magnoliopsida; Malpighiales; Salicaceae. The record is from RNAcentral.